AUCUACGGCCAUGCCACCCUGAACAAGCUCAAUCCCAUCUGAUCUCAGAAGCUAAGCAGGGUCAGGCCUGGUUAGUACUUGGAUGGGAGACCACCUAGGAAGACCAGGUGCUGUAGGCA
This 119-nucleotide ribosomal RNA is filed under the name Pteropus alecto (black flying fox). Lineage: Eukaryota; Metazoa; Chordata; Mammalia; Chiroptera; Pteropodidae. The record is from RNAcentral.